UAGAGAGUAUGCUGAAAUACAAUUUCAAAUAUUGGGAAAGAUAAAUCCUUUGUAGACGACUUAAAUACAAAACCAAGUGUUGUAAGCAUGAAAGUAGUCUUUGUACUACGAUCUGCUGAGAUUUAGCUUGUGUUUUACGAUUUGU
RNAcentral lists this non-coding RNA (145 nucleotides) under Daphnia pulex (common water flea). Its description in RNAcentral is "Eukaryotic large subunit ribosomal RNA". It matches the Rfam family "Eukaryotic large subunit ribosomal RNA", at positions 3256 to 3401 of the family's 3401-position model. Lineage: Eukaryota; Metazoa; Arthropoda; Branchiopoda; Diplostraca; Daphniidae. The record is from Rfam by way of RNAcentral.